GUUCUUUCUUAGAAAUAUUUUGUUAAUUCAGAGGAAACCCAUUUCAACUGUCACUUCAAUUCAAACAUCAUUGCUCUUUGGGAUUUCCACUUCUUGUCUGUUAAAAACUAUUUGGUGCCUCAUUUUGUGGAUUUACUUUGCAAACCCACACGUCUGACUCGUGCAGCAAGGAGCAGCUGCAGCUGAUGCAGUUGCUACUGAAGACAGUCCGCAGGGCAGUCCUGGACCUGGGAGCUGGUGGACACGCUUCUGGGGAGCCCUGGCCCGGCCCCUUCUUGUCUCCUCACGUCAUGGAGGAAGCAGCGGAGAAGGUCAGUCCUGGUAAAAUAGUCCUUGUCUCGCCUCUGUAGGGAGCGUCUGAGCACCUCUCACAGGCCAUCAUAACCGCUGUAGAUGCUUGCUGUCAUAUGAGCCUUAGUCUUUCACAGUGAACACAAACAGCUUUUUCAUAUGGUGCCUGGGAGGCGUGCUGUAUCACAUGUCCCUCUUCACGUGUGCACACAGGUGGCUCUCACACCUCCUGCUGUUUGGAGCUCAGACGUCUCUCCCCAUCAUGGUUCUGCAUCUUGAGGUAAUUGCACCAGGCUGAGAAGUGCCCGGACUGGAGCAUCUCCAUUGCGAUAAUUCCACAAUGCAAGAUUUCACCAGGAGUCUCAGGCAGGAGAGAGCCCUGUCUCCCUGUGUCUGGAGCAUGGCCCUCCCAUGUAGAUGGGGACCGAGAAGAGUUUGCUGCCCUCCCCUGGUAGUGGAGACCACUUCUGGGUUGAAGGUCGCUUAUAUUAGAGACAAUUUUCUUCAUUUGUCACUGCAUUCAUCUCCAUAUCUGGAAACUGAAAAAAUUCACAAUGGCGGAACACCACAAGUUAUGUUACUGUUUACAUAUUAAUUUUGUCAUUUUCAAUCAAAAAUGUUGAAAAGCGAAAUUAAACUUAAUAAAAUAAAUUGAAA
RNAcentral lists this long non-coding RNA (948 nucleotides) under Capra hircus (goat). RNAcentral describes it as "lncRNA (ENSCHIG00000004890.1)". Lineage: Eukaryota; Metazoa; Chordata; Mammalia; Artiodactyla; Bovidae. The record is from RNAcentral.